CCUACGGGGGGCUGCAGUGGGGAAUAUUGCACAAUGGAGGAAACCCUGAUGCAGCAACGCCGCGUGAGCGAUGAAGGCCUUCGGGUCGUAAACCUCUGUCAGCAGGGAAGAAUAAUAACGGUACCUAAGGAGGAAGCCACGGCUAACUACGUGCCAGCAGCCGGGGUAAUACGUAGGGGGCGAGCAUUAGCCGUAAUCAAUGGGCGGAAGGAGUGCGUAGGCGGUCCUGUAAUCCGGGAGUUAAAUCCCUCGGCUCAACCGAGGUCAGCUCUUGAAACUGUAGGGCUUGAGUGCAGGAGGGGAGAGCGGAAUUCCUGGUGUAGCGGUGAAAUGCGUAGAUAUUAGGAGGAACACCAGUGGCGAAGGCGGCUCUCUGGACUGCAACUGACGCUGAGGCACGAAAGCGUGGGGAGCGAACAGGAUUAGAUACCCGGGUAGUC
Molecule: ribosomal RNA, 440 nt
Filed under: uncultured bacterium
Lineage: Bacteria
Description: bacterial SSU rRNA
Rfam family: Bacterial small subunit ribosomal RNA
Source: RNAcentral